This 514-nucleotide ribosomal RNA is filed under the name uncultured bacterium. RNAcentral describes it as "partial 16S ribosomal RNA". It matches the Rfam family "Bacterial small subunit ribosomal RNA", at positions 28 to 523 of the family's 1533-position model. The record is from RNAcentral.
GAUGAACGCUGGCGGCGUGCCUAAUACAUGCAAGUCGAGCGAACAGAUGAGAAGCUUGCUUCUCUGAUGUUAGCGGCGGACGGGUGAGUAACACGUGGGUAACCUACCUAUAAGACUGGGAUAACUCCGGGAAACCGGGGCUAAUACCGGAUAAUAUUUUGAACCGCAUGGUUCAAUAGUGAAAGACGGUUUCGGCUGUCACUUAUAGAUGGACCCGCGCCGUAUUAGCUAGUUGGUAAGGUAACGGCUUACCAAGGCGACGAUACGUAGCCGACCUGAGAGGGUGCUCGGCAACACUGGAACUGAGACACGGUCCAGACUCCUACGGGAGGCAGCAGUAGGGAAUCUUCCGCAAUGGGCGAAAGCCUGACGGAGCAACGCCGCGUGAGUGAUGAAGGUCUUCGGAUCGUAAAACUCUGUUGUUAGAGAAGAACAAAUUUGUUAGUAACUGAACAAGUCUUGACGGUACCUAACCAGAAAGCCACGGCUAACUACGUGCCAGCCGCCGCCGUAA